GCCGGGUUCCGGGGCUGGGAGUCCGCUGUUCUGGCUCCAGAACCUGUUUCGGUUGCUUGGGAAACCUCACCUUAGCACACAGCGAUAAUGCCCAGAUAUUCCGGUGUCGCCAGAUAAGGGAAGCUAUCAUUUCCCCAGCACAUUCCGAGGAGGACACAGAGCGGUAGCCUGGAACCCAGGCUUCCCUGGUAUCUCUGUAGAAAGUAUUCAUAGAACUCUUCAGAAUGCUACUCCCCCUGAAACAAGAGGUCGUUUGGGAAAACAUCUAAAUGCCACGCAAACUAUGAAAACAAUACUACGGCUGAAUAUGUCGAAAUGUGCAGAGACGUUGAGAAUUUGUUAGGAGACGUUGAUUACAAAACAGAAUAGAUCGUCCACUUUAAAGGCAGCCUCGGAUCUCAAAAGGUUGCUGGGGCAUGUAGACUGUGGAAGGGUAGCUGAAAGAGGAACUCUAUCUAUGCAGCCAUGGAGAAGUCACGCCAUCAUCCAUGCUGCCGUGAAACUUUUUGGUGGUGGAGAUGCCGUGGGGUCUCCCACAGUCCUGUGAGCAACCCAUGCUCUGAGGGUGAGCUGUACAAACUUAGAGGUAAGUCGCACUUUGGGAAUUUUGCUUUGAUUUAUUGUUGGUGCUUUAUAAAGAGGCUGGGUGUUUGUUUACAUCUUCCCAGGGGAAGAAUUCUCGAAACAAUGCACACACAUAACAAAGUGGUAUGACAAGGCUGUGGCUUACAUUUCUAUUUCUCUCUUUGAUCAUUUUGCUUCCGUCUGGAAAGGGGUAAGCAGUUUAUAACAUCAUAACAGCUGCAUGUGAACUACUACCAUAUUGUUUGCUAACAUGUCACCAUGUAUUCAUGAACAAAAGUCUUCAGCUUGGUUCUGUUUAUCAUAGCCUCCUCUUAGAAUUUCUCUGGAUCAACACUUUAUUUCCAAAUCCAGUUCUCAAUUAAAUAAAGUUCCUAUCCAACAAGUUG
Molecule: long non-coding RNA, 971 nt
Filed under: Rattus norvegicus (Norway rat)
Lineage: Eukaryota; Metazoa; Chordata; Mammalia; Rodentia; Muridae
Description: long non-coding RNA NONRATT010752
Source: RNAcentral